Molecule: long non-coding RNA, 867 nt
Organism: Mus musculus (house mouse)
Lineage: Eukaryota; Metazoa; Chordata; Mammalia; Rodentia; Muridae
Product: predicted gene, 40256
Exons: 3
Source: RefSeq, a predicted model, not a curated record
GGAAUCAAAGCCAGCAGACAGCAGAGGAGCCUGCAAGCCCUUGUUUACUGCAGCGCUCUUCAGAACAGCCAUUGUGGAAUCAGCUCAUCAGCGGGUGAACGGAUGAAGAAAAUGUAGCACCUAUACAGAAUGUUGUUUAUCCAUUAAGGAGAAUGCAAGAGUGUCGCUUCCAGGAAAAUGGAUGGCACUAGGAGCGAUCACGUUGAAUGUAAUAAGCCAGAGUUGUAAGACAGGGACGGCCUACCAGGAGCCUGCUUUCAAAUCCAAGGAUGCUCCAAGGAUGAUGCUACUAACGGGAUGACGAUGAUGAUGAUGAUGUAAACAUGGCAAGAUGAGAAGUUAGAGAAUCUGUGUGGAAGAAUUCAAGGAACGCUUCCACACUGUCGGUGACUUCGUACAACAAGUACAGCUGCCGUGGAAACCAGUGUGGUCGUGCCGCUGAGCGCUGCAAAGUGACCUAACCUGCCAUUCCGUUAUAUUGCUCCUAAGUACAUAUCCUUUUAUAUUAGUGUGCACUUAGUUGUACUAAAUAGACCUUUUCUUCCAUGUAUUUCAGACUAUUGAUCAUCCCCCCUUCUUUCUUCCCUAACAACCGCUUCUAUACUUUCAUGACUUUAAAAUGAUUCUAUGAACAAUACUUGCUUCCGAGCCCAGCUUACCUCACUUGACUUGAUUUUCAAUUGUGAUGGCUGUUCCUGGUUGUCGACUUGACCACACCUGGAAUGAACUGCAAUCCCGAAAUGGAGGACACACCUGUGAUCCAGAUCUCGGGGCUUCUGACCCGGAUCGUCACAUAGGAUGACACACACUUUUGAUCCAAAUCUUGAGGCAUACUGGCCAUGAAAAGCUUUGGCUCAGGCAAGGUAU